CCAAUUGAAUUUUUGUGGUGAUGAUGAAAGAUUGAGACAUAUUAUAUAUUGCAAAACAACUAAAAUGGUCCGUUGUUCGUGUCUCAUGUUUGAAUUCAAGGGCAUUCCGUGCCGACAUAUCUUGGCAUAUCUUAAAAUUACCAAUCAUAGUGAGUUACCGGAGUAAAAUAUUCUAAGAAGAUGGUGCCAAAAUGUUAGAAAAAGAGUUGUUUUUAGAGAUGGUAAUAUUAUUGGAGAUAAUGCCACAAUUAAUUUUGCUUCUCGUUUUAGUGAACUAAAUUGCUUAGCUAAUGAAAUGGUCGAAGAGGGGCUAUCUUCUAAUGAUGCAUAUGAAUUAAUGCGUGAAAUGAUGAUGGAUGCUAUUAAUAAGGUGCAACGUUUGAAACUCGUCAAUGAUGAAGAAAUUGGACAAGAUGUGGAAGGACAUUAUAUGAAUGCGGAGUGUUCUGAAGAUAUAGUUUAUGAACCAAGUCAAGCAAGAACAAAAGGAAGGCCUAAAGGGAAGAGGUUAAAGCCAUCGAGGGAGAUCCGUAAAUGCCGGCCUAGGAAAUGCAAUUUGUGUGGAAUGCGAGGACAAAAUCAUGAUACAAGAAAUUGCCCUCUAAAGUUGUCAAGAUAGUGUAUCAUUUGUUUUAGUAAUACUAAUGCUAUUAUUUUUUUAAACAUUUUCUUAAGUUGGUGCAAUGAUCUUUAAUAUGUCUUGCUAUCAUAAAUUUUUUUAGUGAUUCAAUGGAACAAGAUAAUAUUGAUGAAGCCAAUGAUGAUUUAGAAGAUUCCUUUGAGGAAGAUGAAGUUCUAACUAUUGUUUGAAGUUUGAUCAAGGUUGGCGGAGCAAAUCAUAUCACUAUUGAAAUGGGAAGCUACCUGGAAAUUUAGACUUGAAAUGUACUUUUGUUUUGAGUUGUUUGGUGUGCCUCCUAAGAAACAUAUAUGGUUUUGAGUUUAUUCUGUAAUAGAAGCUACUUGGAAAUUUAGACUUGAAAUGUACUAUUGUUCUUGGAAUUUCAU
This is a long non-coding RNA of Asparagus officinalis (garden asparagus), 1008 nucleotides long. RefSeq lists it as uncharacterized. The record is from RefSeq and is a predicted model, not a curated record. NCBI's taxonomy places the organism in Eukaryota, Viridiplantae, Streptophyta, Magnoliopsida, Asparagales, Asparagaceae. The transcript is spliced from 3 exons.